Molecule: ribosomal RNA, 422 nt
Filed under: uncultured bacterium
Lineage: Bacteria
Description: bacterial SSU rRNA
Rfam family: Bacterial small subunit ribosomal RNA
Source: RNAcentral
UAAGGAAUAUUGGACAAUGGAGGCAACUCUGAUCCAGCCAUGCCGCGUGAAGGAAUAAGGCCCUAUGGGUUGUAAACUUCUUUUAGACGGGACAAAACCCCUUUACGUGUAAAGGGUUGAUGGUACUGUCAGAAUAAGCAUCGGCUAACUUCGUGCCAGCAGCCGCGGUAAUACGAAGGAUGCAAGCGUUAUCCGGAAUUAUUGGGUUUAAAGGGUGCGUAGGCGGACUAAUAAGUCAGUGGUGAAAGCCUGCAGCUUAACUGCAGAAUUGCCAUUGAUACUGUUAGUCUUGAGUACAGUUGAGGUAGGCGGAAUGUGUCAUGUAGCUGUGAAAUGCUUAGAUAUGACACAGAACACCGAUUGCGAAGGCAGCUUGCUAAGCUGUAACUGACGCUGAGGCACGAAAGCGUGGGGAGCAAACA